This 490-nucleotide ribosomal RNA is filed under the name uncultured bacterium. Its description in RNAcentral is "partial 16S ribosomal RNA". It matches the Rfam family "Bacterial small subunit ribosomal RNA", at positions 30 to 507 of the family's 1533-position model. The record is from RNAcentral.
AUUGAACGCUGGCGGCAGGCCUAACACAUGCAAGUCGAACGGUAACAGGCAGCAGCUUGCUGCUUCGCUGACGAGUGGCGGACAGGUGAGUAAUGUCUGGGAAACUGCCUGAUGGAGGGGGAUCACUACUGGAAACGGUCGCCAAUACCGCCUUAUGUCGUAAUACCAAAGUGGGGGACGUUUGAGCCUCUUGCUCUCCGAUUUGGCCAGCUGGGAUUAGCUUGUUGGUGGGGUAAUGGCUCACCAAGGCGACGAUCCCUCGCUGGUCUGAGGGGAAGACCAGCCACACUGGAACUGAGACACGGUCCAGACUCCUACGGGAGGCAGCGGUGGGGAAUAUUGGACAAUGGGCGCAAGCCUGAUGCAGCAAGGCCGCGUGGAGAAGGAAGGCCUUCGGGUUGUAAAGUACUUUCAGCGGGGAGAAAGGGAGUAAAGUUAAUACCGUGACUCAUUGACGGUACCCGAAGAGAAAGCACCGGCUAACUACGUG